This 254-nucleotide ribosomal RNA is filed under the name uncultured bacterium. RNAcentral describes it as "partial 16S ribosomal RNA". It matches the Rfam family "Bacterial small subunit ribosomal RNA", at positions 524 to 775 of the family's 1533-position model. The record is from RNAcentral.
UACAUGGGGUGCAAACGUUGCUCGGAAUUAUUGGGCGUAAAGCGCACGUAGGCGGUUCGUUAAGUCGGAUGUGAAAGCCCUCGGCUCAACUGAGGAAGUGCACCCGAAACUGGCGAGCUUGAGUACGAAAGAGGAUCGCGGAAUUCCCGGUGUAGAGGUGAAAAUUCGUAGAUAGUCGGGAGGAACACCAGUGGCGAAGGCGGCGAUCUGGGUCGAUACUGACGCUGAGGUGCGAAAGCGUGGGGAGCAACAGG